UACGAAGGGGGCUAGCGUUGCUCGGAAUGACUGGGCGUAAAGGGCGCGUAGGCGGUUUGUACAGUCAGGUGUGAAAUUCCUGGGCUCAACCUGGGGGCUGCGUUUGAUACGUGCGGACUUGAGUGCGGAAGAGGGUCGUGGAAUUCCCAGUGUAGAGGUGAAAUUCGUAGAUAUUGGGAAGAACACCGGUGGCGAAGGCGGCGACCUGGUCCGAUACUGACGCUGAGGCGCGAAAGCGUGGGGAGCAAACAGG
Molecule: ribosomal RNA, 253 nt
Filed under: uncultured bacterium
Lineage: Bacteria
Description: partial 16S ribosomal RNA
Rfam family: Bacterial small subunit ribosomal RNA
Source: RNAcentral